AAGUAUACAUCUCGGUGUAGUAAAAAGGGACACCUGAUAAACAAACAUGACUCUAUCUCCAUUUUACACUAUUGGUCAGGUUUUUAGUUGAUGUGGUAGAUGUUUCUUUUUCCACCACAGAGAAGAAAAACAUCAUCUAAAAAACCACUGAAGCUAAAUUUACCAAUAAAAAAUCUUUUCAUUUCAAUAAGCAUGAUUAGGUAAGAAAACUCCUGAAAUGAGAAGCAAAUCCUUCAGUUUUAUUAUGUCACAGUUUCCCAGUCUUUUUCUUUCCUAAGGCAAAUCUUCCAAAAUUAUUUCAUAUGAAGCUUUCGCUAAAGAAAGGAAACAGUUGUUAAUUUCUCUUUUUCUAAUCACCUAAAAGCUUUAGGAUAGAAUUCUUUUUUUUUUAAAAUAAAUCUUUUUUAUUUUUAUUUUAGAGAGAGAGAGAGAGAGAGAGAGAGAGAAUUUCAAUAUUUAUUUUUCAGUUUUUGGCGUAUACAACAUCUUUGUUUGUAUGUGGUGUUGAGGAUCGAACCCGGGCCGCACGCAUGCCAGGCGAGCGUGAUACCACUUGAGCCACAUCCCCAGCCCCUAGGAUAGAAUUCUUAAAACACACACACACAAACUUUUUUGUUGCCAUUCUUUCCCUGCGUGCAGCCUGGCCAGGUCAUCUUGGUAAUAUACCAGACUUUGAAGAUUUAGUGUUUAAGCAAAGCAAAACAAAACAAAUUUUAAGCCAGUCACAGAGGUUCACACUUAUAAUCUCUGUGACUCUGGAGACUGACCCAGGAGCACCUCGAGGUCAAGGUUAGCCUGUGCAACAUAGGAAGUACUCAGUGAUUCAUUUUAUAUUUCAAAAAAUGUGGUAUUGGGCUGGGGAUGUGGCUCAAGCGGUAGCGCGCUCGCCUGGCAUGCGUAUGCCCGGGUUGGAUCCUCAGCACCACAUACAAACAAAAAUGUUGUGUCCGCCGAAAACUAAAAAAAAAUAAAUAUUAAAAAAAAUGUGGUAUUGGGAAUUGAACCAAGGGGCCCUCUAUUACUGAACCCCAUCCCUUAUUUUUUUUCUUUUAAUUUUGUGAGGGUCUCACUAAAUUGCCCAGGAUGGCCUCAAAGCUGCAAUCCUACCUUCCUGAGUAGAUGGGAUUCAAGUGUGUGCCACCAUGCCCUGCUCAUGCAGAUCCACAGAAAAUUAAUUUAAAAAAUAACUGUGUGGGGGGCACUGGGGUUGUGGGGUUGUGGUUGUAGAGCGCUCGCCUCACAAGUGUGAGGCCCUGGGUUUCAUCCUCAGCACCACAUAAAAAAAUAAAUAAAAUAAAGAUAAAAAAAUAACUGUGGGUAAAUGGCAGAAAGAUCAAUAUCAGGAAGGAAACAGCAGUGGGUAGAGGGAAGGGGAAGGAGAGGUACUGGGGUAUGAAUUAGAGCAAGAUAUAUUCUGUGCUUGUAUAAUUAUGUAAAAUGGAUUCUACUAUCAUGUAUAACUAAAAAGAACCAAUAAAGAAAAUAUGGGUUGAGGGAUCAGUUGGUAGAGUGCUAGCCUUGCAUGCAUAUAAGCCCUGGGUUCAAUCCCCAGCACCACCACACACACCGCCCCUCCCCCCCCCAAAAAAAAGUGUAAUUUUCAUUUUGCUUGCCCCUCACGAGAAAGGAGAACUCUCUCCUUGGUAGUUUCACAUGAAUCUGUCAAAUUUGCAAAUGAAUCUGAAAAUAAAGUGUGUGUAUGUAUAUAAAUAUAUACUUGUCAUGUUUGUGUUGAAACAUCUACUUGCAGAGUCAAGCAUCUGACAAGUUUCUUCAGAUUCAUUUGCAUGUGUCAGGAAGCCCCUGAACUUGAUGCCCUUUCUCAGCCUUUCUUCCUUCUCUCACUUUCUUUUCUAUUUUGAAUUUAG
RNAcentral lists this long non-coding RNA (1868 nucleotides) under Marmota monax (woodchuck). Lineage: Eukaryota; Metazoa; Chordata; Mammalia; Rodentia; Sciuridae. The record is from RNAcentral.